UUGUUAUUCCUUUUAAAAGUUAGUCUAAAAAGGUACAGCCUUUUAGAAAUGGGUACAACCUUCACUAGAGAGUAAGAUCUAAAAAUACCAUAGUAGGCCUAAAAGCAGCCAUCAAUUAAGAAAGCGUUAAAGCUCAACAACAAUAGUAUUAUUAAUCCCAGCAAUAACAUUAGCCAACUCCUAGAUUUAAUACUGGACUAUUCUAUUACUAAAUAGAAGCAAUAAUGUUAAUAUGAGUAACAAGAAAUAUUUUCUCCUCGCACAAGUUUAAGUCAGUAACUGAUAAUACCCUGACCGUUAACAGUAAAUAAAAAUAACCCAACAAUAAAUGAUUUAUUACUUAUACUGUUAACCCAACACAGGAGUGCACCCAGGAAAGAUUCAAAGAAGUAAAAGGAACUCGGCAAACACUAAACCCCGCCGGUUUACAAAAAACAUCACCUCCGGCAUCCC
RNAcentral lists this ribosomal RNA (453 nucleotides) under Ovis aries (sheep). Its description in RNAcentral is "partial large subunit ribosomal RNA". The record is from RNAcentral. Lineage: Eukaryota; Metazoa; Chordata; Mammalia; Artiodactyla; Bovidae.